Molecule: ribosomal RNA, 440 nt
Filed under: uncultured bacterium
Lineage: Bacteria
Description: partial 16S ribosomal RNA
Rfam family: Bacterial small subunit ribosomal RNA
Source: RNAcentral
CCUACGGGAGGCUGCAGUAGGGAAUCUUGCUCAAUGGGGGAAACCCUGAAGCAGCAACGCCGCGUGGAGGAUGAAGGUUUUCGGAUUGUAAACUCCUUUUGUUAGAGAAGAUAAUGACGGUAUCUAACGAAUAAGCACCGGCUAACUCCGUGCCAGCAGCCGCGGUAAUACGGAGGGUGCAAGCGUUACUCGGAAUCACUGGGCGUAAAGAGCGCGUAGGCGGGAUAGCAAGUCAGAUGUGAAAUCCUAGGGCUUAACCAUAGAACUGCAUUUGAACCUGUUAUUCUAGAGUAUGGGAGAGGGAGGUGGAAUUCUUGGUGUAGGGGUAAAAUCCGUAGAGAUCGAGAGGAAUACUCAUUGCGAAGGCGACCUGCUAGAACAUAACUGACGCUGAGGCGCGAAAGCGUGGGGAGCAAACAGGAUUAGAUACCCCAGUAGUC